AGUCUUGUCAAGCAGUGUUGGUGGAGCUCUUAAAGGGAGAGCAGCCUCUUCUCCUUGCUCUUCUCCUUUUCCUUGGGAGCUUGCUUCUCUUUGGCUGAAGGCUAGAGCUUGGGCUUGGAGGAGAUUCCUUUCACUGGCUAGAUUUGAGAUUUUGUAGCAAGCCCUAGUUCGCGGGACUUGGUGAACCCGACUCUGUAGCUCGGAGCCAGGAGAAGAUCAAGUCUAGGAUCGGGGGUGUCUGGGAGUCAUAUUGUCUGCUUCUGUCAGUAUUUCCGUAUUACCCCCUUUGUGAGUGUAAGGCUUGUACGCUGACUGUAUUUGUGUUUUGCAAACUGUUGGGUUAUAUUUGUAUUCUGUAGGGCUGCUAAAGCCCAUACUUGUAGUAUUUCAGUUUCCACUAUCAUAUUCGUGCUUCUGUAUUA
Long non-coding RNA from Dioscorea cayenensis subsp. rotundata (Guinea yam), 422 nucleotides. RefSeq lists it as uncharacterized. The transcript is spliced from 3 exons. The record is from RefSeq and is a predicted model, not a curated record. Lineage: Eukaryota; Viridiplantae; Streptophyta; Magnoliopsida; Dioscoreales; Dioscoreaceae.